RNAcentral lists this unclassified non-coding RNA (253 nucleotides) under uncultured bacterium. Its description in RNAcentral is "contains 16S-23S intergenic spacer region". It matches the Rfam family "Bacterial small subunit ribosomal RNA", at positions 524 to 776 of the family's 1533-position model. The record is from RNAcentral.
UACAGAGGUGGCAAGCGUUGUUCGGAUUCAUUGGGCGUAAAGGGUCCGUAGGCGGUUCGGAAAGUCGGAUGUGAAAUCCUACAGCUCAACUGUGGAACUGCAUUCGAAACUCCCGAACUAGAGUACGAGAGGGGUAAAGGGAAUUCCCGGUGUAAGGGUGGAAUCUGCAGAGAUCGGGAGGAACACCAGUCGCGAAGGCGCUUUACUGGCUCGUUACUGACGCUGAGGGACGAAAGCUAGGGUAGCAAACAGG